This 854-nucleotide ribosomal RNA is filed under the name Humboldtiana corruga. RNAcentral's name for it is "partial 16S ribosomal RNA". Lineage: Eukaryota; Metazoa; Mollusca; Gastropoda; Stylommatophora; Humboldtianidae. The record is from RNAcentral.
UUGCAUAAUGGGCAUACUAUAUAAUAUAAAAAUUCCUUUUCGCGAAAAGAUUUGAGCUAAUCUAAUUUUUAUUAUAGUAUUUAUAUAAUAUGUUACACUAUAUUAUUAAUAUAUUAGAUUAGGGGUGAUAGGCUUUUCAAAUAUCUUGAUAUCUUGAUUAGUAAGAAAGACUCUAAGAGUGGAGGCAUAUUAUUAAUAAUAAGGUUAAUAAUUAUUACUUAUAGUGAUGAAUUAAAAAUAUAUAACAUAAAAGUUAAUAUAUAUGGGAGAAAAACAUUAAAAGCAUUUUGCUAUGUGGGAAAUAUUACUAUGCAAAAAAUAACAAUACUUUGUGUCUCUAAUGUAAGUAUAUGUAAUAUAUAAAUUUAUUUUAAGGAACUCGGCAAAUACUUUCUUCAACUGUUUACCAAAAACAUAGCUUAAUGAGAGAUAUUAAGUAUUUUCUGCCCAAUGGGACAUUUAAAUGGCCGCAGUACCUUGACUGUGCAAAGGUAGCAUAAUCAAUUGGCCUUUAAUUGGGGUCUGGAAUGAAAGAAUGUAUGAAGAGAUACUGUCUAUUAUUAAUAUAUUUAAAUUGCUGAAGAAGUGAAAAUACUUCUAUAAUAAUAAAAGACGAGAAGACCCUAGAAAUUUUAUAUAAAGUGUAUUAUAUUUUUACUAUUAUUUUGUUGGGGCAACAGAAUAACAAUUUAACCUAUUUUAGUUUUACACGAAUUUUUUAUAAGGAUAGACAAAAUUACUCUAGGGAUAACAGCAUAAUUAUUUAAUAGUUUGUGACCUCGAUGUUGGACUAAGGAAGGCUUUAUUCAGAAGAUUAAACCACAUGUUCUGUUCGAACAAGUAUCCCUACAUGA